Molecule: ribosomal RNA, 333 nt
Filed under: Triticum aestivum (bread wheat)
Lineage: Eukaryota; Viridiplantae; Streptophyta; Magnoliopsida; Poales; Poaceae
Description: partial small subunit ribosomal RNA
Source: RNAcentral
UCCCUUGAGUUCCAAAACUAUGUGCUCAUUUGGUGGGAACAAGUCAUUGAGCGCCGAGAGGCAAGAGGUGAACCACCCAUCACUACUUGGGCGCAAAUGAAGGAUGUCAUGAGAGCAUGCUUUGUACCUACCUACUACAACCGCGAUCUCUUCAAGAAACUCCAACAACUCAAGCAAGGAACCAAGAGCGUUGAAGAGUACUACAAGGAGAUGGAGAUUGCCAUGAUAAGAGCCAAUGUCACAGAAGAUGAUGAGCAAACAAUGGCACGUUUCUUGAAUGGACUCAAUCAUCCUAUCAAGAAGAUCGCCGACUUCCAACCAUACUCAAAUCUC